Molecule: non-coding RNA, 22 nt
Filed under: Arabidopsis thaliana (thale cress)
Lineage: Eukaryota; Viridiplantae; Streptophyta; Magnoliopsida; Brassicales; Brassicaceae
Source: RNAcentral
GACAUUCCUCCUCAUUCUCCUA